CAUAUGAAGAACUCCCAUCACCGUGAUGCAUCGCGGCUGGAUGCUCUUCUGCAACAAAAAACGGAUCUGUGUGUAUAUACAUAUAUCGCAUAAUACCUAGGGACGUCGAAGGAGCUUUUGGAGCUUACGCGAAAGAAAAAAAGAAGGAGUUACAAAAAAAAAA
Molecule: long non-coding RNA, 163 nt
Organism: Vespa mandarinia (Asian giant hornet)
Lineage: Eukaryota; Metazoa; Arthropoda; Insecta; Hymenoptera; Vespidae
Source: RefSeq, a predicted model, not a curated record